AUUGAACGCUGACGGAAUGCUUUACACAUGCAAGUCGAACGGCAGCACGGACUUCGGUCUGGUGGCGAGUGGCGAACGGGUGAGUAAUGUAUCGGAACGUGCCCAGUCGUGGGGGAUAACGUAGUGAAAAUUACGCUAAUACCGCAUACGAUCUACGGAUGAAAGCGGGGGAUCGCAAGACCUCGCGCGAUUGGAGCGGCCGAUAACAGAUUAGGUAGUUGGUGGGGUAAAGGCCCACCAAGCCAACGAUCUGUAGCUGGUCUGAGAGGACGACCAGCCACACUGGAACUGAGACACGGUCCAGACUCCGACGGGAGGCAGCAGUGGGGAAUUUUGGACAAUGGGCGAAAGCCUGAUCCAGCCAUUCCGCGUGCAGGAUGAAGGCCCUCGGGUUGUAAACUGCUUCUGUACAGAACGAAAAGGCUUCUACUAAUACUAGGAGCUCAUGACGGUACUGUAAGAAUAAGCACCGGCUAACUACGUGCCAGCCGCCGCCGUAA
RNAcentral lists this ribosomal RNA (500 nucleotides) under uncultured bacterium. RNAcentral describes it as "partial 16S ribosomal RNA". It matches the Rfam family "Bacterial small subunit ribosomal RNA", at positions 30 to 523 of the family's 1533-position model. The record is from RNAcentral.